Pseudopipra pipra is the source of this 536-nucleotide long non-coding RNA. RefSeq lists it as uncharacterized. Lineage: Eukaryota; Metazoa; Chordata; Aves; Passeriformes; Pipridae. The transcript is spliced from 2 exons. The record is from RefSeq and is a predicted model, not a curated record.
UUAUCAGACAAAGCUUAGCAGUGUUAAGUUAAACAGCAUAUAAUGUGAUUAGUGGGGCAGUCAUGCCCAUGAUGUCAUACACAUUCUCUGAACUCUUGGAAGGGGCAGAUAAUGUCUCAGGCAUUUGUUCUCUUAUGACACAGGAAAGGCUCCAUGGAGCUCUGGGGGCUGGGAAGGCUCUGUGCAUGUUCCCAUGUCCCACAGCACUGCAGAGGCUGCUCCCCUUGGUGCAGCACUCGGGCUGUGGUUGCUCCCUGCCGGCUCUGUGCUGUGGAGUGGUUAAAACAGGCCUUUGGGAAUAGUUUAGAAGCUUGAAAUUCUAUUCUUGACUCUGCCACAGACUUGGGUUUUGACCACUAAAUCUUCUUUGCCUCUGAUGGUAUUGCCAAGGGACAACUCUGAAUGAUGCACCAAAGACAUUUAAAUGACCUAGAUUAAACUCACAGAGGACUGUGCAUUCCAGAUAUGUUCUCAAACAGAGAACCUUUCCAAGAAUGAGUAUUUCUGUCACUCCUUAUUAAAGACAUGUACAAAUA